GAUGAACGCUGGCGGCGUGCCUAACACAUGCAAGUCGAGCGAACAGACGAUGCGCUUGCUCCUCGCACGUUAGCGGCGGACGUGUGUGUCACACGUGUAUCCCCUCCCUAUCUGACUGGGAAAACUUCGGGACUCCGGCGCUUAUACCGGAUAAUCUCCUGAACCGCAUGGUUCAUUAGUGAAAGUCGGUUUUGCUGUCACGUCUAGAUGCAUCCCGGCCGCAUUAGCUAGUUGGUACGUUAACGGCUUACCAAGGCAACGAUGCGUAGCCGACCUGAGAGAGUGGUCGGCCGCACUGGAGCUGGGACACGGUCCAGACGCCUACGGGAGGGAGCAGUAGGGAAUCGGCCGCAAUGGGCGAAAGCCUGACGGAGCAACGCCGCGUGAGUGAUGAAGGUCUUCGGAUCGUAAAACUCUGUUAUUAGGGAAGAACAAAUGUGUAAGUAACUAUGCACGGCUUGACGGUACCGAAUCAGAAAGCCACGGCUAACUACGUG
This 497-nucleotide ribosomal RNA is filed under the name uncultured bacterium. Its description in RNAcentral is "partial 16S ribosomal RNA". It matches the Rfam family "Bacterial small subunit ribosomal RNA", at positions 28 to 507 of the family's 1533-position model. The record is from RNAcentral.